RNAcentral lists this unclassified non-coding RNA (7898 nucleotides) under Drosophila pseudoobscura pseudoobscura. RNAcentral's name for it is "GA14879". Lineage: Eukaryota; Metazoa; Arthropoda; Insecta; Diptera; Drosophilidae. The record is from RNAcentral.
UCGUCGGGGGCUGCGGCUGCGGCUGCGGCCGGGGCUGCUGCUGGGAGGCCGCUUAUCAAAUUGGCUCCAUCAGACGGUCCAGUACACGAUCCGAUUCGAUGCGAUCCGAGUCAGUUGCGUUCCUACGUUACGAUCGAGCGGUUCGUUUGGCGGUUGCGGCUACGAUUUGCGGUUGUGGUUGCGGUUGUGGUUACGGCUACGGUUGAUACCCGGGCUCGUCUAGGGAUUGCGAUUCCUCUCAGUGUGUGUGUGUGGAUUCUGAACGGAGGUUGAGGCUGUGGCUGAGGCUGAGGCUGAGGCGGCGUCUCUAAAUUGAAGCCACUUAAGUAAGCCGCAAAGGGGAUCUCUGAAAGAAAUCUCGCACAAAAACACACAGAACACAACAACGGCUCCGGGCAUGAAUCAACCUAGCGGCCGCGGAAGUGUUAAUUUAAAGUCCAAAGACGACAUUUAGAUACGGUCUUCCAACUACUAUCUGAGAGUGUUCCAUUGUCCGCCCAAUAAAUCGUGGGUCUCUGUUUUUUUUUUUGUUUUUUUUUUGUGUCACUGAAUUAUGUGUUUGCUGAUGUCCGAUGAGAUAUAUACAUAAAUCAAUAAUUAAGUGAUAAUUAUUUAUAGUGUGAAUUAGACGGAGGGCAUUGAAAAAAUCUCCUCGGACGUGUUGUAAAUCGCUGGAAAUCGCUGCCCGAAAGAGCUCCGCUAGAGCUCAACCAGUUUCCAACAACAAUAACACAUACUCAUGAUGGGACACGGACAGCCCCUAGUGGUAGCACUGCUCUGCUACCUCGGCGCCUGCACGUCGGCCCUGAGCCUGCCCAAUAUGACGGCGUCCGAUGGGGCCGCUAGUGGAGGCCUGAUAUUGCCCCCGCUCGUUGCGGGGCCCAGCGGCAGCAGCAUCGGUAGCAGCAACGGCAGCCUGAUCAGCGGCGGCGGCGGCAGCGGCCUGGCAGUGGGCAUUCCCGGCGGACAGUCCACAGCUGAGGCGGGCGGAGGAGGAGGAGCCACCAGUCUGGGCGGCAGCCAAAUGGGUGGCAGCAUUGGCGGCGGCGGCAGCAGCAGUGGCGGCGGCCUCAGCGGCAGUGGCAACAACUCGGCCAUGGUCCAGGCGCCCAAGGAGAAGCUGUACGAGAAGUGUACGGGUCCCGGGGAUCCGGGCCCGUGCAAGCAGUACAUCUACAAGUGGCGCUACGAGCCGACGACCAACGAGUGCACCAACUUCAUUUGGGGCGGCUGCGAUGGCAAUCCCCAGAAUCGUUUCAGCACCGAGGCGGAGUGCCUGUUCCACUGCAUUGGAGGGCCACACACAUUGCCGCCAUUCCUGCAGUCAACCACUCGCGAGCCCAGCACCACAGAGAGCUCGCAGCUCAUUGGAUCGGCGUACACCCAGAGUCCGGCCCAGGCCGCACAGGAUGAGGACGGCAGGACGGGAGAUGGCACCACCCCAGUGCCCAUCGAGCAGCGCGGCCCUGAGCUGACGUUUGCGGAGACGGGCCAAGGCAAAACUUUCGUUUUUGCCAAGAACAACACGUUCAUCCAAAUGGACGGCGACAUCAUACAGACAUUUCAAUUAAGACUUUGCCGUGAGAUUUCAUUUCAAUUCCGUACUCGACUGCCGCACGGCCUGCUCGUCUAUCACAACGUUAAGAAUCCGGAUCGCAUUAAUUUGGACCCCUAUGCACUCUAUGUGAUUGUGGAGAAGGGCCAACUGAAGGUGGUCCAUGUCUUUGGCAAGCAUUCAACGAGUGUCACUGUGGGCGAGAGCCUGAAUCGAGAUGAAUGGCACAGUGUGAUGGUGCGCAUCGAUGUCCAUGGGGCAAGAUUAAUUGCACGCGUCGACAAUAGUCAGGAGGAGGUAUAUCUGAAAGGACUGAAUCACGAGUACAACUAUGGCGUCUCCACGAAUCUGCCGUCGGUUGUGCUGGUUGGAGGCCUUUCGUCGGAGGAGAAGCUGCACGGCGUGAAGUACAUUACGGAAUCCUUUGUGGGCUGCAUACGCAACGUGGUCCUGAGCUCUGGCAAGGCUGCCUCCGAUCUGCUGUCCAUUGCCCCGCUGGUGGCCACCAAGCAUGAGAACGUCAACGAGGGAUGCUUUGAUAUGUGCGACUCUCGGCACAAUCUGUGCUUUGUGGGCUCCCGUUGCAUCAACCACUAUGGGGGCAUCUCCUGCGACUGCUUUGGCACCCACUACGAGGGCGAACACUGUGACAUCUACACGGCCACCAUAAUCACGCUGCGCGGUGCCAGUUAUGUGUCGUACAGGAUCUACGACUGGAAGGAUCGCGUACACUCAUCGACGAUGCGGAUUAGCCUGAUGUUCCGGACGAACUUUGACGACUCGGCCCUGUUCUACGCCAGCGGGGAGUCGCUUAAGCAUCAGUACAUAGCGGCGGCCAUCAAGAACCAGUCGAUUCAUGUGGAGAUGGACUUUGGCGACCAUGUGAUGGCCACAGUGCUCACCGAUGACCUGACCCGCGGCUACUGGCACAAUCUGACCAUCCUGCAUGAGCAGCGUACGGUGAGCAUUAUCCUGGAUCAACAGCAGAAGGUGCUCGAGCUGCCGGCCACGACCAGCGGUAACCUGCUCUUCGAUCCGGAGAUCUACUUCGGUGGCGGCCCCGAGCUGCACAAGAAGAAGGGCUUGGCCUCGCACAACAACUUCGUGGGCAGCAUGAAGUACGUCUACUACAACGACAUCUCCAUUCUGUACGAGCUGCAACGUGGCAAUCCGAAGAUGCACUAUCACGGUGUCCUGGAGGCGGAGUUUCUGGAGAACGAAGUGAACGUCAUACCCAUAACCUAUCCCUUUGCGACGUCACACAUUUGGUGGCCCAUAAAUCACGCCGAAGAAUUUAAUAUUAAAUUCGAUUUCCGCAGCAGUCGGCCAGGCGCUGUCCUGGCCUACAGUGACGUAACGACCAGUGCCGGAAAUGGCUUCUGGGAGAUACGUCUCACAUCGGACAAACUAAGCUUCGAUCUGGUUCCCGACGUUAACAACAAUGUGACACACUCGACGACCAUCAAAAUCAAUCGUGCCACCUCCUGGCACAGCGUCGAGGUAGACUAUAAGCUGGGCGAGAUCCGGUUCACUGUCGACUACCGGCACACCCUCAGCCAGAUGUACGGCCUAACCUUUAACAUUGGCGACAAGCUCAUCAUCGGCAGCAGCCUAAAGUCAGCGGCCAUGGGCCUGGUGGGCUGCAUCCGUGACAUUGAGAUCAAUGGCCAUUUGAUUGAGCCACGGCAUGUGGUCAAGACGGAGCGAGUGGUGGGCGAGGUGGCGCUGGAUAACUGCAACUACAUUGAUCCCUGCAAGCGGCCCAACACCUGCGAGCAUGGUGGCAAGUGUUUCGUCAAGGACGAUCGCGUCACCUGCGACUGCAAGCACACGGGCUACAUCGGCAAGAACUGUCACUUUACCAAGUACCGCAAGACCUGCGAGGAGCUGGCGCUUCUGGGCUUCACCAAAUCCGAUGUCUACCUCAUCGACAUCGAUGGCAAUGGGGUGUUCCCGCCGGCCCAUGUCAAGUGUGAUUUUCAGAGUCUGGAGAAUGCCACCAAGACGAUUGUCGAGCACAAUCUGCCCAGCCAGGUGGAUGUGCGGUCGGCCCGGGAGUCGGACUUUAGCUUUAAUAUACGCUACCGCGAAUUCUCCCCCCACAUGCUGCAGGAGCUCAUCUCGCACUCGCUCUACUGCACGCAGUACAUCAAGUACGACUGCUAUCGGGCCCAGCUGGAGCUGCAUUCCUCCACUUGGUUCACGUCCUCGGCCAAGAAUCUCACCGUUGACUUUCUGGGCAAUGUCAAGAGAGGCGCCUGCCCGUGCUCGGUUAACAAGACGUGCGUGGACCCGAAUCAAUCAUGCAACUGCGAUGUGAAAGAGAACAAAUGGAAUUCGGAUGAGGGAUACUACCAGGAUCCGCCCAGUUUGGGCAUCACCAAUAUGUACUUCCUGCAGCAAAAGGAUCUGGACGACGAGGCCCAGGGUCGCAUCACGCUCGGACCCCUGGAAUGUGUAGAGACAAAUACACAGAAAUACGUGGUCACCUUCACCACAUCGCAGUCGUAUAUCGAGGUGCCCGGCUGGCGGAAGGGCGACAUUGCCUUCUCGUUCCGCACCACCGGCGAGAAGGCCAUCCUGCUGUUCCAGCCACCGAUACGUGCCCACUAUCCAUCGUUCAUGGUGGCCCUCACCGGCGACGACCAGCUCACGUUCACCUUCACAUUGAGCACGGGGACCACCCGCGAGCUGGUCAUUAACUCGCACCGCCGGCUGAAUGGCGGCGAAUGGCAUAAAAUAUGGAUCGACUACAACCAGUAUCAUGUGCGCUUCAUGAUAAACACCGAUUACCAGAUGCUCGAUUUGCUGCCCGAGGAGGAGUUUGGUCCAUUCGAGGGCAGCAUGUACAUUGGCGGCGCCACAUUCGACCUGCUCAAGAAGCUGUCCGUUAAGGCUGGCCUUAUUGGCUGCUUCCGUGGCCUGGUGGUCAAUGGUGAGAUACUCGACAUCUACAGCUACAUGUCAGUGCAUCUGUCGGAGAUUAUCAAGGACUGCAAGCCAUCUUGUGUGCCCUCGCCCUGCCGCAACGGUGCCCAGUGCAAGGAGCUGUGGAGCAGUUUUAAGUGCGUCUGCAACAACCCGUGGGCCCACAUCGGGGAGUUCUGUGAGACAAACAUCAACGAGAAGGCUCUGACCUUCAUCAACCGUGAGUCCUUCCUAAUGCGCAACUACCUCAGUGUGGGCGCCACGCCUGCCAUCCUAAUGCACGGCCUGGAAGGCGAACGGGAUGUACUGAAGGGCAUCCUACACCAGAAUCUGCUCAUCAACCUACGCACCUACGACUCCAAUGCCCUGGUUGUCUAUGCCAACGAUCACUACAACAACUUUGUGCAUCUGUACAUCAGCCAGAACCGGGAGAUUGUCUUUCUCUACAACUACGGCGAUGAGAUUGUCAAUCUCACAUUGCUGGACGAUACACUGAUGGCCUCGAAGAGCCUGAAGAGCAUCCAGGUGGCCAUUAUCCGGGGAGAGCAGGAGACCCGCAUGCAUGUGAACCAGCGGAGUGUGAGCAUCGACAGGGGCACCCUACUCCUGGAUGAGUAUGCCAAUAAGCCCUGGAGCAAUCCGGAAAAGGAGGUUCUGUCGCCGCAUCGUCCGCCCGCACCGCCCACCGAAUACUUUCAGUUCCAUGUCGGCGGCUACGAUCCGGCGAAUUUGCUGCGCCCCACCAAUGUGGAUGCACCCGCUCUGGAGGGUUACAUUGGCUGUGUGCGGGGGCUGAAAAUCGGUACGCAGUUGAUCGACUUGGCGGAAAUCAAUGAAAGGAAUAUAGCGCCCAUCCAGGAAGGUGUUCUGCCCAAUUGCCAGAUCAAAUGCGAUGCGGAGCCCUGCAAGAAUGGAGGGAUUUGCCAGGAACACUUUGCCGAACAGCUCUCCACCUGCGACUGUGAGAAUACCAGCUUCCUGGGCGAGUUCUGUUCGGAGGAGAAGGGCGCCGACUUUAGCGGCGAGUCCACGCUGCAGCGCAAGUUCGAGCUGUCGGGCCGGGUCAACUAUGUGCGCCUGCAGCUGGCCUUCUCCUCGUUCGACCUGCGGCGGGCCAACCGCAUCAUGCUGCUGCUGCAGACGGCAGCGGAGCGCAGCUACUACCUUCUGCUGGCCAUCACCUCGGACGGGUACCUGCAGCUGGAGGAGGAUCGCGAGCAGGGCCAGACGGUGGGCGCUCGCAUCGAUCGGAGUUUCCUGAACAGUGCCAGGCACUCGGUCUACUACGUGCGCAACGGCACCCAGGCGCAGCUCUUCAUCGACCGCGAGCAGGUGCCGCUGACGGAGUUUGCCGCCCGAGUGCUUACCACCAGCGGGGAGGCCGGGGCGAAUCGCGUCCAGAUUGGUGGCAUCAACAGCACGGACUCGCGGUUUGCCGUCUUCAAGAGCUACAGCGGUUGCCUGUCGAACAUCUACAUACAGGUGAACGGGCAUGUUAUGAAGCCACUCGAGGAGUAUAUGCUGUUCACCAAGUCGGGGGCCGACAACAUAACCGUCAUCAAUCCGCAGGGCGUACGCAGUGCCCAAUGCAAUGCCAAAUUCGAUGUGAGCGAACAGCCCACCCAGGAGCCUAUGGUCAACGUGAGCAUGAUACCGGAGCCUUGGGUGGAGGAGCCGCCGCAGCGAGUGCCCUAUAUUCCCAGAUUUGUGUACGAUGAGAACAAGAAGGAGGACUCCACACAGGUCGUCUUCCUCACGCUGACCAGCGUGUUUGUCAUCAUUGUCGUGUGCUGCCUGCUUGAGGUGUAUCGCAGUCAUUUGGCCUACAAGAAGCGCAUCGAGCGCGAGACGGACGAGGACAUUAUUUGGUCGAAGGAGCAGGCAACCAAAAUGCACGAGUCGCCAGGUGUUAAGGCCGGCCUGCUGGGCGGUGUUACGGCCGGCUCGGGCAACGGCCUGCCGCCCUAUACCUACAAGGCGCUGCCGCAAGAGGACAAGAAGCCAGGCAAUGGAGCCCCCUUGGUGGGCAUCUUGAAGAAUGGCAGUGCGACGGCCUCGCAGCCAGACAUGCCCACCACUGUCCUGACCAAAAAUGGUGACAUUGCCACGCGCAUCGAUGAGGUGCGUGAGGAGGAAGAGGAGGACGAAGAGGACUCCUCGCAGCCGCCGAAAGAGGAGGCACAGAAGGAUGCUCUUAUAAACGAAGGACCUUCCACAGAGCAUCCAACUCCGGCAAUAUCGGAGGACACUGCGGAUGCCCCUGGGCCAAAUGAGUCAGUGGCCGAGGCUCCAGCCGUGCCGCCUGCUGCUGCCACACCGAAUGGACAGCUGGAGGGAGAGGUGGAUGCCCCAUUACCGGUAAGCAGAGGCCACGAACCCCCACAGAAUCUUAUCAAAAUGGCGCCGCUUGUCACAAUCAGUGAGACCAAUCUGCAUGAGGCAUGUGGCAACGGCCUUGGCAUUGGCAUGUAAAUAACACGCACACCCCCAAGCACACCCCCCACAUGGCAUACUAAAACACGAAGACGAGCCAAGCCGCCUGUCAUUGCAUAACGUAAGACAGAGUAAACGGCCAGCAAAAUACAUAAGCAUAUUUUACAACUGUAAGGCAUGAAACUGCAUCCAGCCCCAUACAGACACCCAAAUAUUUGGACAGUCAACAGAAGAAGCAUAUAAGUCAGCGCAGGCGAAGCAGCAAGGCCAAGAGGAUGAGAAGCAGCAUGAAGACCCGCAAGAAGAGCAUCAGCAUGGAGAGGAGCAGCAUCAGGAGCAGCCGCCGCAACGAGGAAAAUCCCGCCACAAAGCACCCGACGACACAGGGCAUCCCUUUGAUGUCGGCGCCGCAAAUGCCAAUGCGACAACACAGUCCAUAGGAUCCACAGCGCCCCCAGCUACAGCACAAGCACCAACACCAGCAGCAGCACCAGCACCAGCCCCAGUACCAGUACUAGCCCCACCGCCACGUCAUCGUUCGAAAGCGGCGGCUUUGGGUGCCCCGUCGUUGCCGCUGCUCUAUCUGGUGGGUGGGGCGCUGCAGCAGCGACAGUUCGCGAAUCCAAUUAGUUACUUGGGUGGACCGCGACUGCAGCCGCGCAGUAAUCGCAACAGCAUCGACUCGAUAUUAUCGCUGGAUUAACGCCACCCCACGGCGGACCCUGCUAGUCCGGAACCAAGCUAGUCGCACACCUUCGUCAAUGGGGCAAGUGCAUCCUCGUUCAUGGUGCUGGUUGCCUGGCAACAAACUCAAGUUGCAGCAGGAUUAGCCUUUUUUUCUUUUUUUUUUUUAUAUGGACGUUGAUAUGCGUACCAUUUGAAGUGUGAACUCUAGUACUAGUUAGUUAGUUUACCAAUUUUUUAGUUAGCGAAUGUUGAUCGAAUUGUUGCUAAAAAUUAAAGGAAUUGUUAUUGAUAAUAA